Rosa rugosa (rugosa rose) is the source of this 764-nucleotide long non-coding RNA. RefSeq lists it as uncharacterized. Lineage: Eukaryota; Viridiplantae; Streptophyta; Magnoliopsida; Rosales; Rosaceae. The transcript is spliced from 3 exons. The record is from RefSeq and is a predicted model, not a curated record.
CAAGCUUAACAGCAAGGGAAAGGAAUUCUGAGAAUGAACAAGAAAGCUGCAAAGAAGUUAUUUCUGAAGAAAGCUGCAAAGAAGUUGUUUCUGAUAGAGCUGGGUUUCAAGGCCUGAUAGAGCUGGGUACUUAUGAUCAAGGGGAUUCUAUCAAUGGUUCUGUCUCAAACUGCCACCUGGAUCUAAAGGCUUGAUAGGUACAACCAUUAUAGCAGUGGUUGGUAUGAAGAGCAAGGAUGAGAAAAAGAAGGAAAAAGAGAGGAACAGGAUUGAAGGUGCUUUGCAAUCCUAAAAACUGAAGCAGCCUCUGCAGAAUGGCCAACUUUGAGGAUUAAACUGUACUGAUCCAGAGAUAACCAGAAGACGAGCCUUAUAUGCACGGAAAGCCCUGAAUGUCUAGUUUCUGGAGAAUUUUACGGUUCGUGAUUUCGAUAUUCCUAGAAAGAGAUAUGGCCGUUUAAGUACAGGCAGUUCAGUCAAUACGCGAAUCUGUGAUGUGUUUCUAAGAGCUCGAGUUUUCAAGGCCUGAAUGACUUAGCAAAAUUCUGGAAAAAUUAACAUAGCAUUAUGGACCGUUUGAGAGCCCAAACAUAUGUUUCCUUGGAAUUUUAGGAUGCCACAUCACCUUUCUUUUGUGCUAAGUUAUUAAGGAGUUCCAGAGGCCUAAAGCAAGAAGGAAAAGUUGCAUCUUAUAAAAGGAGAAUGUGUCAAGAUGGAGAAGUACCAUUCACCAUCAGAUUUUCACCAAAGAAGGCUGCUGCCAU